This 807-nucleotide ribosomal RNA is filed under the name Cantharellus cibarius (golden chanterelle). RNAcentral's name for it is "eukaryotic LSU rRNA". It matches the Rfam family "Eukaryotic large subunit ribosomal RNA", at positions 91 to 911 of the family's 3401-position model. Lineage: Eukaryota; Fungi; Basidiomycota; Agaricomycetes; Cantharellales; Hydnaceae. The record is from RNAcentral.
GAGUGAAGAGGGAAGAGCUCAUCAUUGGAAUCUGGCAGUGUUUCACUGUCCGAGUUGUAGAUGAGGAGUAGUCCGUCUGGACUGCAUGGCGUCCAAGUACAAUAGGCCGUCAGUGGGACAUCAUAGAGGGUGACAAUCCCGUCCUUGACGCCAAUGUGCAAGUCUAUUACGAUGGCUAUCUCAGAGAGUCGAGCAGUUUGGGAUUUGCUGCUUAAACAUGGGAGGUAGAUUCCUUCUAAAGCUAAAUACAGGCGAGAGACCGAUAGAGAACAAGUACCGCAAGGGAAAGAUGAAAUAGCACUCUGUGAAGGGAGUCAAAAGGCGUGAAAUUGUUGCGAGAGAAGCGAUUCAAGUCAGCGUAGCUAGGCCCAUCAAGCGUCUUCGCUUUGGACUAGCUUUGCCAGCGGUCUUGUCCCUUAAAGAGACUUGACUUGUAAUAUGUCCAGCCUGGCGUGCACAGGCAGCCCCUUCUGGGGGCCAGUGACAUGGCUGGUGGAAUGGCUUGCAAUCGACCCGUCUUGAAACACGGACCAAGGAGUCUAACAUGUAUGCGAGUAUAAGGGUGGCAAACCCGUAUGCGCAAUGAAAGUGAUUUUCGGUGAUUGAGAAUGGCCUGAUGACCAGACAAGCAAUAUAUGUCCCUCGUACGGCCAUUGCCCAAGUUCCGUGGUAGAUCCCACGAACAUGGAGUUGGAGCAUACAUGCUAGGACCCGAAAGAUGGUGAACUAUGCCUGGACAAAGCGAAGCCAAAGGAAACUCUGGUGGAGGCUUGUAGGGAUUCUGACGUGCAAAUCGAUCGUCUGAUC